RNAcentral lists this ribosomal RNA (499 nucleotides) under Komagataeibacter saccharivorans. RNAcentral's name for it is "bacterial SSU rRNA". It matches the Rfam family "Bacterial small subunit ribosomal RNA", at positions 131 to 662 of the family's 1533-position model. Lineage: Bacteria; Pseudomonadati; Pseudomonadota; Alphaproteobacteria; Acetobacterales; Acetobacteraceae. The record is from RNAcentral.
CAUGGGUGGGGGAUAACUUUGGGAAACUGAAGCUAAUACCGCAUGACACCUGAGGGUCAAAGGCGCAAGUCGCCUGUGGAGGAACCUGCGUUCGAUUAGCUAGUUGGUGGGGUAAAGGCCUACCAAGGCGAUGAUCGAUAGCUGGUCUGAGAGGAUGAUCAGCCACACUGGGACUGAGACACGGCCCAGACUCCUACGGGAGGCAGCAGUGGGGAAUAUUGGACAAUGGGCGCAAGCCUGAUCCAGCAAUGCCGCGUGUGUGAAGAAGGUUUUCGGAUUGUAAAGCACUUUCAGCGGGGACGAUGAUGACGGUACCCGCAGAAGAAGCCCCGGCUAACUUCGUGCCAGCAGCCGCGGUAAUACGAAGGGGGCAAGCGUUGCUCGGAAUGACUGGGCGUAAAGGGCGCGUAGGCGGUUUUAACAGUCAGAUGUGAAAUUCCUGGGCUUAACCUGGGGGCUGCAUUUGAUACGUUGAGACUAGAGUGUGAGAGAGGGUUGU